RNAcentral lists this ribosomal RNA (253 nucleotides) under uncultured bacterium. RNAcentral's name for it is "partial 16S ribosomal RNA". It matches the Rfam family "Bacterial small subunit ribosomal RNA", at positions 524 to 776 of the family's 1533-position model. The record is from RNAcentral.
GACGGAGGAUGCAAGCGUUAUCCGGAAUGAUUGGGCGUAAAGCGUCCGCAGGUGGCAGUUCCAGUCUGCUGUCAAAGACCGGGGCUUAACUUCGGAAAGGCAGUGGAAACUGAACAGCUAGAGUAUGGUAGGGGCAGAGGGAAUUCCUGGUGUAGCGGUGAAAUGCGUAGAUAUCAGGAAGAACAUCGGUGGCGAAGGCGCUCUGCUGGACCAUAACUGACACUCAGGGACGAAAGCUAGGGGAGCGAAUGGG